GAGGGUAUAACUCAAUGGUAAAGCGCAUGCUUAGCAUGCAUGAGGUCCUGGCUUCCAUCUCCAGUACCCCCC
Molecule: transfer RNA, 72 nt
Filed under: Camelus bactrianus (Bactrian camel)
Lineage: Eukaryota; Metazoa; Chordata; Mammalia; Artiodactyla; Camelidae
Also listed under: 2 other names
Rfam family: tRNA
About the family: Transfer RNA (tRNA) molecules are approximately 80 nucleotides in length. Their secondary structure includes four short double-helical elements and three loops (D, anti-codon, and T loops).
Source: Rfam by way of RNAcentral